Molecule: long non-coding RNA, 1711 nt
Organism: Mytilus californianus (California mussel)
Lineage: Eukaryota; Metazoa; Mollusca; Bivalvia; Mytilida; Mytilidae
Exons: 2
Source: RefSeq, a predicted model, not a curated record
UUCUAGGUAAAAAUUCCCUUUAUCAUGACUUUUAUAUCUAAAACUACAGUUUAUUGAAAAACUUGCAGAUUUAAUUAAAAUUUGGAUCCAACAUUUAACAUAGAAACACCAGUAAAUUGUAAUAUUAUUGAUUAAUAUAUGCAUCGUGCCCUAUUUUUUGUUUGUCAGUUUCAAAUACAAGGUAUAUAUUGAAUGUUAUAGAAAGAUAACUGCUUUCAGUAACUUCUAGGGGGUGUUUGAAGAUUUUGUAGAUAUUUUUUUAAUCCUGAUUUUGAAAUAAAUAUCAAAAAGGCUAAUCUUUGCCAGAUGAGCAAUAUUGGUUCUAUUCUUGAUUAUGUAUUCUUGUAAGGGUUUGUUGUCAUGCAUUUUUAUAGUUGUAUUAUAUUUUCUACGUAGGAAGGGUGCACUAUGUUUUCUGGUCUUUUUGUCCAUCUGUUUGUCCGUCAAUCCAGUAUCAAGUAAAUGUUUUGGUUGAAGGUAGUUUAUCCUUAGGCUGUGGACACAUCAAUUUGAAACUUAGUGCACAUAUGUUCAUUGUGGUGUGAACUUCUUAAAAUAUAUACCAUACUAGGGUUUUGACCUAGAUUUCACAGUUCACUUAACUUUGAAAUAUGAUAUUGUCUAAUUCUGAUUUUGGGUGGGUGUCAUACUCAUAGAUAUAUAUGAGUGUAUUUUGGUAACAGUUGGAUGUCUUGCUGUUGUGUGGUAAUUCUAUAGUAUUGGUGAUUUAUCAUGCAUUUUUAUGGUCAAAUUUUGAACUGUUUAAUAUGGUUUCCUGUCUACCUUUGUAUACCCCUAAUUGAAGAAGGAGUAUAUAGUGAUGUACAUGUCCAUCCCUUACAAGUUUGGUUUCCAGAUUAUAAUUAAAGAACAACUUGCCUAAAUGUUUAAAAUUUUAACAAAAUAUCAUAGAGCAUAAAAUAUAGUUCAAGUCUGAUAUUUAUAGUUUUGACAUUUACUGUUCAAGAGUUGAGUAAUGCCAGUAGUUACCUUGAAAGGUGAUUUUUAUACAACCGCAAAAAAUUUUGUGAAGACACAUUGGUUUUCGCACAAUAACUUUAGUUUAAGUGAAUGGAUCUCUAUGAAAUUUUACCAUAAGGUUCAAUACCACAAAAGAAAGGUUGGGAUUGAUUUUAGGGGUUAUGGUACCAACAGUUAAGGAAUUAGGGGCCAAAAAGGGGCAAAAAAUAAGCAGUUUUGUAACUUCCAGACAAUAAUUUGUGUGUUAGUGUAUGGAUCUCUCUGACAUUGUACCACAAGGUUCCAUAUCACAAAGGGAAUGCUGGGAUUGAUUUUGGAGGUAAUUGCCUCAAAAUUUUAGGAAUUAGGGGCAAAAAAAGGGGCAAAAAACAAGCAUUUUUCGAGUUUCAUGACAAUAACUUGUGUGUAAGUGAAUGGAUCUUUCUGAAAUUGUAUUACAAGGUUCCAUAUCACAAAGGGAAAGCUGGGUUUGAGUUUGGGGGUAAUUGCCCAAUGUUUAGGAAUUUGGGGCCACAAAGGGGCCAAAAAACAAACAUUUUUACAAUUUCCAGACAAUAACUUGUGUUCAAGUGUAUGGAUCUCUCUGAAAUUGUACUGCAAGGUACCAUACCACAAAGGGAAGGCUGGGAUUGAGUUUGGGGGUUAUGAAUCAUAAGGGGGUUCAAAAAAUUUGGGGGGGGGGGGAUGUUUUUUUCCUUUUUUUUUUUUUUUUUUUUUUUUUUCUCUUAAA